Solea senegalensis (Senegalese sole) is the source of this 1083-nucleotide long non-coding RNA. RefSeq lists it as uncharacterized. NCBI's taxonomy places the organism in Eukaryota, Metazoa, Chordata, Actinopteri, Pleuronectiformes, Soleidae. The transcript has 3 exons. The record is from RefSeq and is a predicted model, not a curated record.
AAUGCGUUUGUUGCGUAAAAUUGCUGAUUUUCUCAAUGGACUUUGCAGUAGGAGAAAGCAGUUUCCACGCAUCAGUUCCAGGCAAGAAAGAGUGACAAGAACGUUGUUCAGCAGACAUAGGAAUCAUAUCUUGACUCCAUCUUCCUCAAACUGAGAGUCGAGGGAUGGGACUUAAAGAUCCAAGACCAGAGUGAACCUCGGUGCUGCGUUUGAACGGUGGCGACGACUGAACGUCCAGAAAGUGGCUGCAAAGUGAUGCCAUGGUGACUCUGCUUCUAAUGGACCGGGUUGCAACAGCGGAUCAUCUUGACCUCUCUUGUGUCCUCCUGUGUCCUCAUGCCCUCCUUCACACCAUCUGUGAACCUUUCUCUGUGGUCUUCUGCUUUUCCACCUGCCGGCAGCUCCAUCUUCCACAUCCUUUGUCUUAAUGCGAAUAAAUAAAAGUCUGUCUGAGUGAUACCUCCAGACUCAUAAUACCUACCCGCUGAGGGACAGAGACAAUCAAGAGAGGUUCCACAGCCACAGCACAAGCAGCUAUGCUUGUUUUAUUUACCUCGACUCAUUUUCACGUGGUCAGACUCUAAUCUCCAGAGACAACAACCAAAGAAAAGGCCAAAACCUUAACGAAAAUAUACAGCAACAUCCCAUAAACGCAGAACUCCUGCUGCACUAAAAGAAUCCCUGCUAUGUCGGACAGAUUUACAAGGCAGUGGACGAUUGCUGUUUGGAGAAUUUACAACAUAUCCAGCGUGCAGGGUGUGUGACUGCAUAUUUGCCUCUUGACUCCUCAAACAAAUUUAUCUGGAAUGGAAAAAAAGAUGAAUAAAAAUGUGAUGUUUUAAGACUGUUUUCUGGCACACAGUUUCCUCUCAAUAAGAGGAGUGUAAGUUCUACCAUGGAAGAGAUUGUCUCGAUUUUUUAUUGCCAUUGGCAGAUUUUAUAGACUAAAUAAUGGCUGUGCAAUGGAAAUAAAUGGUGGUGGUCAUGUUCAUUCAUGCUGGUAAUUAUCGUUGCCUUUUCAAGAAAAAAGGAAGGCAAAACCCCCUCAAAGCAAAGAAAUUAUUAACUUUGGAAAGACACUGA